This is a non-coding RNA of Callithrix jacchus (white-tufted-ear marmoset), 2695 nucleotides long. Lineage: Eukaryota; Metazoa; Chordata; Mammalia; Primates; Cebidae. The record is from RefSeq and is a predicted model, not a curated record.
CCCAAAGACAGGGCCUGCGUUGGCUGGCCACUGAGACUCCCCCAAAGACCCCACCAUCAGGAAGGAAGUCCUUCUUGCGGUCUAACCUGCAUCUCUCCUUGCACGGACGGUGACAACACAAGAGCAGCUGCCUCUAAGGUCACCAGGCGAGCAGGGCCCCCGCCGCGGUCCCCAGCCCUGCAGAGUCACCUACGCCCUGAGCACGCGGCGGGCCCCCUCCCGCCGGCUCUGCCCCCGCAGCGCGUGGGUCCGGGAUGGGCAGCGUGGAGUGCCGGCCUGAGUCCGGCGCCCGCACCUACCUGGAGAGCGCUCAGGACAAACCCGGCUGCGUCCAGCCGCCCGCGGCCGCCCGGGGCGGUCCUGAGUCGCAGCUCCCGGCCCUGCGCGUCCCGGGGCAGCCGCCGCGUCUCCGAGCCCGCCCCCGGGCGGCCCUGCGGGAGCAGGUGCCAGGAGCCGCGCCGCCCCGGUCUGCCCAGGAGAGCCGCGGCGGGACAGGGGCUCGGCGGUGGGGCUCCCCGGGUAGGAGGAAGAGAGGGGAGAUUCGGGGACUCCCCUGGCUGAAGAGCUGGACUCACGGGUGAGUAUCCCGCCUAACCCUGGCUAACCAGGCGCAGCGUACCUGAGGGCUCCCUAGGGGUCCUAGAGUUCAGGGAAAGGGACCCCAAACUGGCUGCCUUCCCCUGCCCCGCCGGCACUCACUUCCCCCCCGCCCCGCCCCCGCCAGCUGGGCCCUCUUUUGGGAGGAAACUCCAGCGGUAGGAGGAAGUUGAAGUUGACAUUCAUGGACCACCUGCUGGGUGCCGGGGGGGGGGGGGGAUCACAUUCAAACCUCAGAACCUCUCUCCCCAUUUCACAGACCAGGAAACGAAAGAAUGGGGACCUAGGCCAGGGCGGUGGCUCACGCUUGUAAUCCCAGCACUUUGGGAGGUCAAGGCAAGUAGAUCACUUGAGGUCAGGAGUUCGAGACCAGCGUGCAGAAAGAACAUGGUGAAACCCCAUCUCUACUAAAAAUACAAAAAUUAGCCAGGGGUGGUGGCACACUCCUGUAAUCCCAGCUACUCAGGAGGCUGAGGUGGGAGAACCGCUUGAACCCAGGAAGUGGAAUCGUGCCACUGCACUCCAGUCUGGGCAAGAAAAGUGAAACUCCGUCUCAAAAAAAACAAAACAAAACAAAAAAAAACUGCCAGGUGCAGUGACUCACGCCUGUAACCUCAGCAGUUUGGGAGGCCAAGGCAGGCAGAUCACAAGGUCAGGAGUUCAAGACCAGCCUGGUCAACAUGGUGAAACCCCGUCUCUACUAAAAAACUACAAAAAUUAGCUGGGCACAAUGGCAGGCGCCUGUAAUCUCAGCCACUUGGGAGGCUGAGGCAGGAGAAUCACUUGAACUUGGGUGACAGAGAUUGCAGUGAGCUGAGAUUGCACCACUGCACUCCAGCCUGAGCAACAGAGUGAGACUCCAUCUCAAGAAGAAAAAAAAAAAGACUGUGGACCUUAAGUGACUGAAUCCAAAGUCACACAGGAAGUGGGCACCAAAUGGGAGACUCCAAGCUGCUCCUAGGCACUGUCUCUGGAGGUCAGGGGAGACUGCCAGAAUCUGCCAGGGAGACCUCACCAGUGUGUGUGGCUGGGAGUCCUUUCCGAUUCGUCCCAGGGGAUCACAGCACAGGUCCGGCACACAGGGGGCACGGAGCCACCCAGGGAGGGCAAGAGGCAGAGGUUGGUGGCAUGACCUCCUCAGAUCCCUGCCACCAUUUUGUUAUUGAAGAAACAAUAUCAGGGUAAGAGAGCAAGAAAGAGCCAAGGAAAGUGGACAGAGAGGGCUCUUGCAGCCAAAGAAGUGGUGGUGCCGCUCCCCUGCCUUGCACUGGGGCAUGCCUCCUGGGGACCAGGUCAUGCGGAGAGAAGGCCCCACGUGGGGGGCCCCAGGGAUGCCACCAAAUCUCCCAGCCUGGUCCACCCAUCCACCAACUCACCCUUGCCUUGGGCCGUGCCCCUUCUAUCCCCUCAGCCUGGAACAUCCUCCUGACAUUCAGAGAUAUCUCCUUAUCACUCAGCCCCCAGCUUAAAUGUUACAUCUCCAGGCCCCACUUUCCCCAGCUCCAUUACGCUUUGUCUCAGACUCUGUUUACCACCCUCUUAGUGUAUCUUCCGGGUUGUAAUUCUUUUGUUUGGACCCUGACCUGUCUCCCUCAUGAGGGCAAGGCCUUUAUUUCCCAGUGGUCUGGAGCACCAGUGCAAAGCGUAUUGCAUACCUAAUAGGUACUCAAUAAAUAGUUGUUGAAUUAAUAACAAAACCAUUUCCACUUUUUAGGUAAAUCCACAAUUGUACAUUUUAAAUGGGUGAAUUGCAUAGUAUGCAAAUUACAUUUCAAUAAAGCAUGUUUUUUAAAAGUAAACCCAGGGUGGGAGGACUGUCCUGGUGCACCAUGUGUACCUCAGUGUAGCACUGCACACGAAUCCUCUAACUUAAUCUGCUCACACUGCUGUCCAUCACAGCCCACGUCCGGCCGCUGUCCAUGGAAAACCGCAGUUGCUUGGGCUUGGAGGAAUCUUAGACGUCAUCCUGUCCCUUCUGUAGCAGCUUUGACAAAGUACUCUCUGGCGUCUGCUUGAACAUGCCAGAGAUGGGGAGAUCACUACCUAACAAGAUGGCCCAUUCCAUGAUGCUAAUACUCAUUAAAAUGGGGCUUUGGAA